RNAcentral lists this unclassified non-coding RNA (1427 nucleotides) under Camponotus floridanus (Florida carpenter ant). RNAcentral describes it as "U3 small nucleolar RNA-interacting protein 2, transcript variant X1". Lineage: Eukaryota; Metazoa; Arthropoda; Insecta; Hymenoptera; Formicidae. The record is from RNAcentral.
UUGAGCGCAUUUAAUUUGAUGGUCUUUAUUUACGUCGCACGUGGUUGAAACUACUGACUACUUUUAAGCUAAGUAACAAAAGAUUAUUUUUCAUUAUCGUGAUGUCGUUUUUCAUUAGAAAUUCUAAUCGAAGAGGUGGACCACAGAAACGCAAGUACACAUUCAAUAGUUACUAUGGUAAAAUAUCCAAAACUCAGUCUACAAAGCGAUUAAAAAAAGCAAAUAAAUCUGUAGAUGAUGACAAUGAAAGUAUUGCUAGUACAGAUGAAGAAAUUGCAGAAGAAAAUUUAAGGAAAAAAACAGAAAAGUUUGAAAGUGAAACAGAAGAAGAAGAAGAAACUGCACAACAAAAGAAUUUGAGACUUGCAAAGAAGUAUCUUCAAGAAAUUGAAGAAGAAGAAAAGGAUAGAGCAGAAUUUGAAGAGGGUGCAGUUGCACGGAGAUUACGUGAGGAAUAUUUAGAGCAAAAGGGCCGACUGAGAAAAACUGUAGCAUCAAAUUAUACUGGCCACAAAGAACUGAUACCAUUAAGGUGUAAAGAACAUAAAGGACCUAUUACUUGUAUUUGUCUUUCCAAUGAUGGUAGUAUAUUAUACUCAGGAUCCAAAGAUGGCAGUUUAGUUAAAUGGUCAGUAAAGGAAAAGGUUAAAUUAAAAGCCAUUAGAGGAAAAAGAGGAAAAACGAAAGAUGGAAUUAAAUCUAUACGGUGUAUGGCAAUUAGUACAGAUGGAAAAUUUCUGGUAAUAGGAGAUAGUGGAUGCAAUGAUAUAAAAGUGUUUUCUGGGGAUACUUUGGAUCAUAUAAAGAAUCUACAAGGUCAUAGGAAGUUCGUAUCUGGAUUGAUAUUUCGAAAAGAUACUCACACGUUAUAUUCCGCGUCCGAAGAUAGGAGCGUGAAAGUUUGGAACUUGGAUGAUAUGGUUUAUGUUGAAUCUUUAUUUGGACAUCAGAGUGGUAUUACAUUUAUUGACGCACUUUCACGAGAACGCGCUAUCACGAGCGGUGGUUACGAUGGGACCAUUAGAAUAUGGAAAAUAGUCGAAGAAUCGCAGUUAAUAUUUAAUGGACAUAGUCUCGGUAAUAGCAUCGAUAUAGUUAAGCUUAUAAAUGAAGAGAACUUCCUCAGCGGGGGAGAUGAUGGACAACUCUGUGUUUGGGGAUGUUUGAAAAAAAAGCCGCUGUGUUCAGUGCCAGAGGCGCAUGGAAAGGAUGAAAUUAAUGACCAACCAAUGUGGAUUUCAAGUAUCGCAACAUUGUUAAAUACAGAUUUAGUAGCAUCAGAUCUCAAUUGACUCGAGUUAAUAUCAAGCACGGAUCAAAUACAAGACAUAAAAGCGACAAAGCGUUUCGGAACAAGAUUUCAUCGGACAGGUCUUGGGCGGCGUGAUCGAGGACGGCGGUCCAUUGUGAAUCGGCGGCUGCGGCUG